This is a long non-coding RNA of Calidris pygmaea (Spoon-billed sandpiper), 511 nucleotides long. NCBI's taxonomy places the organism in Eukaryota, Metazoa, Chordata, Aves, Charadriiformes, Scolopacidae. The record is from Ensembl.
GAAGCUGAGAGGAAGCUCUAGACCAACACCUGUACUGUUCCAGCCCACCCUCUAGAUUAAGGACUUCUCUUACUGGAGACAGAGCAAACCCGGCUGAGUGUUUCUAUGGGUAGCAGAGCUUUAGGGUGAAGGAAACCCGCUUGCCAAACUGAAGAAGUUGCGUAAUAAGACAGAGUUCCACAAAUGUCAACAUAACUAUAAUACUUAAGAAAAUACAGACUUAAAAAAACCUGAGGACCUAACUUGUGUCUGUGCAAACAUCUACCAAUAUUUCACUUUUCCUUCCAAAAUGCGUUUUCCUUUCAGCAGAUAAACUUGGAGGCUGCUUGUUCAACAUUGAGAAUAAGGUGUUAAUCACCUUGUUGGACUCCAAGGUGUGAUAAAGAAACCCUCACUCAGUAUAUUUCUUCUGCAACACAUAUAUGUAAAACAGCAGAUACUGCCAUAACGAUGCAGUUCAUUGGAAGGUAAGCCAAGAUAGAAGUCCUCUAUCAAUAUUUGUUUUGCUUCU